CGUGGGUAACCUGCCUGUAAGACUGGGAUAACCCCGGGAAACCGGAGCUAAUACCGGAUAGUUCCUUGAACCGCAUGGUUCAAGGAUGAAAGACGGUUUCGGCUGUCACUUACAGAUGGACCCGCGGCGCAUUAGCUAGUUGGUGAGGUAACGGCUCACCAAGGCGACGAUSCGUAGCCGACCUGAGAGGGUGAUCGGCCACACUGGGACUGAGACACGGCCCAGACCUCUACGGGAGGCAGCAGUAGGGAAUCUUCCGCAAUGGACGAAAGUCUGACGGAGCAACGCCGCGUGAGUGAUGAAGGUUUUCGGAYCGUAAAGCUCUGUUGUUAGGGAAGAACAAGUGCAAGAGUAACUGCUUGCACCUUGACGGUACCUAACCAGAAAGCCACGGCUAACUACGUGCCAGCAGCCGCGGUAAUACGUAGGUGGCAAGCGUUGUCCGGAAUUAUUGGGCGUAAAGGGCUCGCAGGCGGUUUCUUAAGUCUGAUGUGAAAGCCCCCGGCUCAACCGGGGAGGGUCAUUGGAAACUGGGAAACUUGAGUGCAGAAGAGGAGAGUGGAAUUCCACGUGUAGCGGUGAAAUGCGUAGAGAUGUGGAGGAACACCAGUGGCGAAGGCGACUCUCUGGUCUGUAACUGACGCUGAGGAGCGAAAGCGUGGGGAGCGAACAGGAUUAGAUACCCUGGUAGUCCACGCCGUAAACGAUGAGUGCUAAGUGUUAGGGGGUUUCCGCCCCUUAGUGCUGCACKAACGCAUUAAGCACUCCGCCUGGG
Molecule: ribosomal RNA, 775 nt
Filed under: Bacillus pumilus
Lineage: Bacteria; Bacillati; Bacillota; Bacilli; Caryophanales; Bacillaceae
Description: bacterial SSU rRNA
Rfam family: Bacterial small subunit ribosomal RNA
Source: RNAcentral